RNAcentral lists this ribosomal RNA (749 nucleotides) under uncultured bacterium. RNAcentral's name for it is "bacterial SSU rRNA". It matches the Rfam family "Bacterial small subunit ribosomal RNA", at positions 1 to 746 of the family's 1533-position model. The record is from RNAcentral.
CCCUUAGAGUUUGAUCCUGGCUCAGAACGAACGCUGGCGGCAGGCUUCAUACAUGCAAGUCGAACGGGCGUAGCAAUACGUCAGUGGCGAACGGGUGAGUAACACGUGGAUAAUCUGCCCCUUGGCGGGGGAUAACGGCUGGAAACGGCCGUUAAUACCGCAUGUGGUUAUUGAGGCUUUGGUCUUGAUAAAGAAAGGCGCUGCAAGGCGUCACCAAGGGAUGAGUCCGCGCCCCAUUAGCUAGUUGGUGAGAUAAUAGCUCACCAAGGCUCCGAUGGGUAGCCGAGCUGAGAGGUUGAUCGGCCACACUGGGACUGAGACACGGCCCAGACACCUACGGGUGGCAGCAGUAGGGAAUCUUGGACAAUGGGCGCAAGCCUGAUCCAGCCAUGCCGCGUGAGUGAAGAAGGCCCUCGGGUCGUAAAGCUCUUUUCUGAGGGAAGAAAUACCUGAUGAGGAAAUGCUUCGGGUUUGACGGUACCUCAGGAAUAAGGAACGGCUAACUCCGUGCCAGCAGCCGCGGUAAUACGGAGGUUCCAAGCGUUGUUCGGAAUUACUGGGCGUAAAGGGGGCGCAGGCGGAUUGGUCAGUGGAAAGUGGAAGCCCGGGGCUCAACCUCGGAUGUGCUUUCCAUACUGCCAAUCUUGAGUUCGUGAGAGGAGAGCGGAAUUCAGGGUGUAGCGGUGAAAUGCUUAGAUAUCCUGAGGAACACCGGUGGCGAAAGCGGCUCUCUGGCACGAAACUGACGC